UACGGGGGGGGCAAGCGUUGUUCGGAAUUACUGGGCGUAAAGGGCUCGUAGGCGGCCAACUAAGUCGGAUGUGAAAUCCCCAGGCUUAACCUGGGAACUGCAUCCGAUACUGGAUGGCUUGAGUACUAAAGAGGGUCGCGGAAUUCCCGGUGUAGAGGUGAAAUUCGUAGAUAUCGGGAGGAACACCGGUGGCGAAGGCGGCGACCUGGGUAGAUACUGACGCUGAGGCGCGAAAGCGUGGGGAGCAAACAGG
RNAcentral lists this ribosomal RNA (253 nucleotides) under uncultured bacterium. RNAcentral's name for it is "partial 16S ribosomal RNA". It matches the Rfam family "Bacterial small subunit ribosomal RNA", at positions 524 to 776 of the family's 1533-position model. The record is from RNAcentral.